GAAAGAAAGAAAGAAAGAAAAAAAGAAAACAAGAAAGAAAGAAAGACGACACAGAGAAGUAGCCGUUCCCCGUCUGCCAAU
Molecule: non-coding RNA, 81 nt
Filed under: Chromera velia
Lineage: Eukaryota; Chromeraceae
Source: RNAcentral